UACGAAGGGGGCUAGCGUUGCUCGGAAUUACUGGGCGUAAAGCGCACGUAGGCGGCUUUUUAAGUCAGGGGUGAAAUCCCGGGGCUCAACCCCGGAACUGCCCUUGAAACUGGAGAGCUAGAAUCUUGGAGAGGCGAGUGGAAUUCCGAGUGUAGAGGUGAAAUUCGUAGAUAUUCGGAAGAACACCAGUGGCGAAGGCGACUCGCUGGACGAAGUAUU
RNAcentral lists this ribosomal RNA (219 nucleotides) under uncultured bacterium. RNAcentral describes it as "partial 16S ribosomal RNA". It matches the Rfam family "Bacterial small subunit ribosomal RNA", at positions 524 to 741 of the family's 1533-position model. The record is from RNAcentral.